RNAcentral lists this ribosomal RNA (524 nucleotides) under uncultured bacterium. RNAcentral's name for it is "bacterial SSU rRNA". It matches the Rfam family "Bacterial small subunit ribosomal RNA", at positions 355 to 896 of the family's 1533-position model. The record is from RNAcentral.
UUGGGAAUAUUGGACAAUGGGGGAAACCCUGAUCCAGCAAUGCCGCGUGGGUGAUGAAGGCCUUCGGGUUGUAAAGCCCUUUUGGCGGGGACGAUGAUGACGGUACCCGCAGAAUAAGCCCCGGCUAACUUCGUGCCAGCAGCCGCGGUAAUACGAAGGGGGCUAGCGUUGUUCGGAAUUACUGGGCGUAAAGGGCGCGUAGGCGGCCGUGCAAGUCAGAUGUGAAAGCCCUGGGCUCAACCCAGGAGGUGCAUUUGAUACUGCAUGGCUAGAGUGUCGGAGAGGAUGGUGGAAUUCCCAGUGUAGGGGUGAAAUUCGUAGAUAUUGGGAAGAACACCGGUGGCGAAGGCGACCAUCUGGACGACAACUGACGCUGAGGCGCGAAAGCGUGGGGAGCAAACAGGAUUAGAUACCCUGGUAGUCCACGCCGUAAACUAUGCGUGUUGGACGUUGGCGAGCCUAGCUCGUCGGUGUCGCAGCUAACGCGUUAAACACGCCGCCUGGGGAGUACGGCCGCAAGGUUA